CCUACGGUGGGCAGCAGUGAGGAAUAUUGGUCAAUGGGAGAGAGGCUGAACCAGCCAAGCCGCGUGAAGGAAGACGGUGCCAAGCGUUGUAAACUUCUUUUGUCAGGGGACAAAACCAGGGUCGUGAGCCGGACUGAGGGUACCCGAAGAAAAAGCAUCGGCUAACUCCGUGCCAGCAGCCGCGGUAAUACGGAGGGGGCAAGCGUUAUCCGGAUUUAGUGGGGGUAAAGGGAGCGUAGACGGGCUUGCAAGUCUGAGGGGAAAUACCCGGGCUUAACCAUGGUACGGCCUUGGAAACUGUGCAGCUUGAGUGCGCGAGAAGAAGGCGGAAUGCCUAGUGUAGCGGUGAAAUGCGUAGAUAUCACGCAGAACCCCAGUUGCGAAGGCAGCCUUCUGG
This 397-nucleotide ribosomal RNA is filed under the name uncultured bacterium. RNAcentral describes it as "partial 16S ribosomal RNA". It matches the Rfam family "Bacterial small subunit ribosomal RNA", at positions 338 to 732 of the family's 1533-position model. The record is from RNAcentral.